RNAcentral lists this unclassified non-coding RNA (178 nucleotides) under Udeniozyma ferulica. Its description in RNAcentral is "ITS 1". The record is from RNAcentral. Lineage: Eukaryota; Fungi; Basidiomycota; Microbotryomycetes; Colacogloeaceae.
GUGAAUAUCAGGGCGCUCUUUUCUGCGGAAGCGAUCAGAGGCCUGACCUCCACUUAUCCUUAACACUGUGCACUUUUUUAAACCCAAGCGAGUUUGUCAUUCUCGAAGUUCACGCUUCGAGUCUUACUCGCUUUCACCUUAACACUAGUCAAAGAAUGUAAACAAAACAUAACAAAAA